Molecule: long non-coding RNA, 401 nt
Filed under: Medicago truncatula (barrel medic)
Lineage: Eukaryota; Viridiplantae; Streptophyta; Magnoliopsida; Fabales; Fabaceae
Description: long non-coding RNA (MTRU_LNC005004)
Source: RNAcentral
GUGUUUUUCUAAAAAGUGUGGUAUCAAUUUUUCCUCUUGAAAAACCAUUUUCAAUUAAAAAUGUGCUAAGUCUGUCAUACCAAGCUCUAGGAGCUUGUUUAAGACCAUAAAGAGCUUUUGUUAAUUUGAAAACAUGAUUUGGUUUUUCUUUGUUUAUGAAUCCAGGUGGUUGACUUACAUAAACUUCUUCAUUUAGAAAACCAUUUAAAAAUGCACUUUUCACAUCCAUUUGAAAAAGUUUAAUGCUUUUAUGUGCAGCAUAAGCAAGAAGAAUUCUGAUGGCUUCUAACCUUGCAACUGGUGCAAAGGUCUCAUCAUAGUCAAUACCUUCUUGUUGGUUGUAACCUUGAGCAACUAACCUUGCUUUGUUUCUGACAACCUUACCUUCUUCAUCAAGCUUG